GGGCAUGCUAGGCUUCGAUGGAAUGUUGUUUGUUCAAUUAGCGUGUAGUGAGAGGUGAAUGACUCACUCAAAUCAAUUGUUCACAAAGUUACGUGCAAACUUAUUUAGUCGCGUGAAGGCAGCUUUUGCUCCUUCAUUUGCGCCAGCUUUCGCUUAAUACCGAAAGCCAUCGUGUUAGAUCAGCCGUUGGAUCUUCUCACGGUGUCAACCUAGACGGCUAUAUAUAUUGAGAAUUGAGUGGCUCGAUAUAUGAACUGCACUAAACCUCACACUGUCUGGAAUACUUUGCUGGUCUGCAGGUUCCUGGUAGUGUAAAAAAAAUAGUCCAGCUAGACACGUAGAAGAUUGGAUAAUAUCGUUUCAGACGGCGGUUCAAUUCCGCCCAUGUCCACUC
This 394-nucleotide transfer-messenger RNA is filed under the name Patescibacteria group. RNAcentral describes it as "UBA10190 sp001817065 Standard tmRNA". It matches the Rfam family "transfer-messenger RNA". Rfam says of the family: Bacterial tmRNA, also known as 10Sa RNA or SsrA, is named for its dual tRNA and mRNA-like properties. Its role is to liberate the mRNA from a stalled ribosome. The record is from RNAcentral. RNAcentral also lists the same sequence under 5 other names.